GAUGAAGAACGUAGCGAAAUGCGAUAAGUAAUGUGAAUUGCAGAAUUCAGUGAAUCAUCGAAUCUUUGAACGCAUCUUGCGCUCCUUGGUAUUCUGAGGAGCAUGCCUGUUUGAGUGUCAUUAAAUUCUCAACUACACUGACUUUGAAUUGGUGUGGCUUGGAUUUGGGGGGAAAAUUGUUGUGGGCUUUUUGUAUAGUCUGCUCCCCUGAAAUUGAUUAGCGGUACCUUUGUGGAACUGUCUACAGGUGUGAUAAUUAUCUACAUCUUAGACAUCUCUGGAAUGCUGCUUUCUAAACCUUACUUGUAUUGACAAUCUUGACCUCAAAUCAGGUAGGACUACCCGCUGAACUUAAGCAUAUCAAUAAGCGGAGGA
This 375-nucleotide unclassified non-coding RNA is filed under the name soil metagenome. RNAcentral's name for it is "partial contains 5.8S ribosomal RNA, internal transcribed spacer 2, and large subunit ribosomal RNA". The stretch from base 1 to 120 matches the Rfam family "5.8S ribosomal RNA", at positions 35 to 154 of the family's 154-position model. The record is from RNAcentral.